Molecule: long non-coding RNA, 74 nt
Organism: Maniola jurtina (meadow brown)
Lineage: Eukaryota; Metazoa; Arthropoda; Insecta; Lepidoptera; Nymphalidae
Exons: 3
Source: RefSeq, a predicted model, not a curated record
GUAACUCCAAGCAUAGCUUUCUUCAUCGCCCGCCCAGUGACUCUAAGCUUUUUUAUUAUGCUUCUUUUUACGUC